Molecule: small RNA, 745 nt
Filed under: Pongo abelii (Sumatran orangutan)
Lineage: Eukaryota; Metazoa; Chordata; Mammalia; Primates; Hominidae
Description: processed transcript
Source: RNAcentral
AUGUGAUGAAAUAAUCCAGAUGCUGAAUUAUUGUGCUUUUGAUCAAAUAAAUCUGAGGAUUUAAGGAUAACUUGUGAAGUAACAGUAAGUGCAAAGCAACAGUAUAUAUCUAUUUGUUAAAUCUGAGGGGGAAAACAGGUUAUUGAAGAAGUAUGUCUCCAGAGAAAAAUCCAUCUGUUGAAUCUUCAAGUCCAGAAAUGGAUGAAAUGUUUGACUGCCCAUGAAAGUACAGGAGGUUCAGCAACAUCAGAUGACCAUGAAUUUGAUCCAUCAGCUGACAUGCUGGUUCAUGAUUUUGAUGAUGAACGAACAUUAGAAGAGGAAGAAAUGAUGGAAGGAGAAACAAACUUCAGCUCUGAAAUAGAAGAUCUUGCAAGGGAAGGCGACAUGCCAAUUCAUGAACUUCUCAGCCUUUAUGGUUAUGGUAGUACUGUUCGACUACCUGAAGAAGAUGAGGAAGAGGAAGAAGAGGAAGAAGAAGGUGAAGAUGAUGAAGAUGCUGAUAAUGAUGACAACAGUGGCUGUAGUGGGGAAAAUAAAGAGGAGAAUAUAAAGGAUUCAUCAGGUCAGGAGGAUGAAACUCAGUCUUCCAAUGAUGAUCCAUCACAAUCUGUUGCUUCUCAAGAUGCCCAGGAAAUAAUCCGCCCACGUCGAUGUAAAUAUUUUGAUACAAAUAGUGAAGUAGAAGAAGAAUCUGAAGAAGAUGAAGAUUAUAUUCCAUCAGAAGACUGGAAAAAGGUAGUUA